RNAcentral lists this long non-coding RNA (2047 nucleotides) under Pogona vitticeps (central bearded dragon). RNAcentral describes it as "lncRNA (ENSPVIG00000017865.1)". Lineage: Eukaryota; Metazoa; Chordata; Lepidosauria; Squamata; Agamidae. The record is from RNAcentral.
GUGAGACCUGUUACCUGUCCACUCUGCCCCAGACAGAAAUGCCAGUUUCUGCAGUAUAGAUAAUUAACCACAGAGGUAUAUCCCUUCUUUCCUUUGCCAGACAAAAAGAAAUACAUUUGUUUUGUCGUUAGUAAGGCUGUGGGUUUAUUUCAUUGUCAACAAGGCUGCAAGUGUUAGUUGAAUGGGUUUUAACUGAUGCAAAUCUCAAUAAAUUGACAUGUGGAUCAAUAGAGUGGUCACUGAAAUACAUAGGAUUUGAGCAUCGUGUGCAGUCAAGUUAAUUCAGACUUAUGGGCACCCUUUCCAGGAGAGAAUACUCAGAAGUAGUUUGCCUUGCCUUUCUUCUGGGGGGGCACCCUGGGGUCUGCACAGCUUGCCCAAGGCCUCACAGGCUGGCUAUACUUCCAGAAGGUGCAGUGGGGAAUCCAGGUCCCAAACUCUGGCUCCACUGAGCAAUCCAGCCAGCAAAAUAACCACGCUCCAUCAAGUCCAUUCUGCCUUACGGUGACCCUUCUCACAAUUUUCCAGGUACAGAAUACUCAGAAGUGGUUUCCCCUUCCCUUCCUCUAGGGGGCGCCCUGGGAUUGUGCAGCUGGCCCAAGGCCCCCCAGGCUGGCUGUAUUCACAAUGGCUGCUCCAUCGCCAGAUAACCCAAACCACCAAACUAUCCAGCCAGCUAUGUAGGAAUUAUUCCAAGCAUCAUGCUUUUUUCGAAUUCUACAUCCUAAGAAGAAAUAAGUCGGGUUCCCCCACUACCACCACCAGUGGCAUUCAAGACUCCUUGGGAGCAGGCCAGCUGGUUAAAUCACAGCAGAGUGCCAGAUGUGGAAAAGCAGAUGCUCAAAAGCUGAGGAGCCAAAACAACAUAGAUCUCAUUCCCAGCUCAGAAUUUUCCAUACCCAUGCAUGGGGCUUUGGACCAUCCCCCGAAUCCUUUUCGGACCAAAAGCUUAGCCACAGAAGACCGCUUGGAGAGAAGAAAGUCCAAGGAUCAAACCGGGGCAUCUCUGGAUUCCAAAAGUUAUGGAACUUUUGAGUUGGCAGCCCCUCCAACCAUCCUAACAUUUUGGAGAGCCAGUGUCAGUCUGUACACACCAAGGAUGGGUAGAAAGCACAUCUGGGCAAUGGCUGAUUUCUAGUGCCACGAUCCUGUUGCCACGUUCAGCACUCUGCAGGGCAAGGCCACAUCCGAUUCCCCCUGUUGGCAGCUCCCCUCCCCGCUCUGUGGUUGGUCCUGUGGUGGGUCACACACCUGACCUUGCAACCAACAUGAGACCAGGUGUGCAAACCUGGCCCAAGGCUACCUGGGCUGGCUUUUCGCUUGGGAGGUGCAGUUUGAACCAAAAUGCUAACCUCUGGCUUUGUAGCCAGGUAGCCACGUCACUCAGCCAUUCAACCAGUUCCGGCAACCUCAGUCAGUAGCCACUAAGACGGCCAUAGCCUCCAUGAAUUUACCUCUUGUUUAAAGCCAUCCACAUAGGCAGCCUUCACACCUUGUGGCACAGAAUCCCACUGAUUUACCAUGGCUCAAAAAGAUACCCUAUUUUGCCAUGUAUAAGACUAUACUUUUAUCUAAAAUCUUUAGACUAAAAAUUGAGGGUCAUCUUAUACACGGAAGCAAGCCGAGGAGAGAACAAACACAAGUGGAGGGGAAAGCAGGGAUCAAAGCGAUCCUGCAGGGCUUUGAUCCCUGCUUUCUCCUCCACUUGCUAAGCCCCACUUAGAUUUCUUAAUUUUGGGCUAGAAAAGUGGGGGUGUCUUAUGUACUUCUUUUUAUCUGUACCUAUGUGGAUUAGAUCUCUCCCUCUCCAUUCAGACCCUCAAGAUUCUAGCAUCUCUGGGAUUCACAAUCUCCAUACGAUGCUGAAUUUGGGGGCCUCCUUUCUUAUCAGCGCUGGCUGGAUAGCUCAGUGAGUUAGGCAUUUGGCUACAGAACCAGAGGUGGGGAGUUCAAUUCCCUACUAGGUAUCUCAGAAGAGCCAGCCUGUGAAGCCUUGGGCCAAUUGCACAAGUCCCACUCUGCACCCCAGCCGAGGGCAUAACAUAAC